AACGAACGCUGGCGGCAUGCCUAACACAUGCAAGUCGAACGAGACCUUCGGGUCUAUUGGCGCACGGGUGCGUAACGCGUCGGAACCUGCACUUAGGUUCGGAAUAACUCUCCGACAGGGGUGCUAAUACCGGAUAAUGUCUUCUAACCAAAGAUUUAUCGCCUUUGGAUGGUCCCGCGUUGAAUUAGCUAGUUGGUAGGGUAAAAGCCUACCAAGGCGACGAUCCAUAGCUGGUCUGAGAGGAUGAUCAGCCACACUGGGACUGAGACACGGCCCAGACUCCUACGGGAGGCAGCAGUGGGGAAUAUUGGACAAUGGGCGAAAGCCUGAUCCAGCAAUGCCGCGUGAGUGAUGAAGGCCUUAGGGUUGUAAAGCUCUUUUACCCGGGAUGAUAAUGACAGUACCGGGAGAAUAAGCUCCGGCUAACUCCGUG
This 433-nucleotide ribosomal RNA is filed under the name uncultured bacterium. RNAcentral's name for it is "partial 16S ribosomal RNA". It matches the Rfam family "Bacterial small subunit ribosomal RNA", at positions 29 to 507 of the family's 1533-position model. The record is from RNAcentral.